CAGUCGCCGCGGUAACACGUAGGUCCCGAGCGUUGUCCGGAUUUAUUGGGCGUAAAGGGAGCGCAGGCGGUUUAGUAAGUCUGAAGUUAAAGGCAUUGGCUCAACCAAUGUAUGCUUUGGAAACUGUUAGACUUGAGUGCAGAAGGGGAGAGUGGAAUUCCAUGUGUAGCGGUGAAAUGCGUAGAUAUAUGGAGGAACACCGGUGGCGAAAGCGGCUCUCUGGUCUGUCACUGACGCUGAGGCUCGAAAGCGUGGGUAGCGAACAGGAUUAGAUACCCCAGUAGUCCCUGUCUCUUAUACA
RNAcentral lists this ribosomal RNA (301 nucleotides) under uncultured bacterium. RNAcentral describes it as "partial 16S ribosomal RNA". It matches the Rfam family "Bacterial small subunit ribosomal RNA", at positions 509 to 808 of the family's 1533-position model. The record is from RNAcentral.